GGAAGGGAGGAAGCGUAGAAGGUGCCGAUGCACUUUUCCUCUCUCCAGACUUCCUGACUGCUCCAAGAAUUUCAUCGAACAAGACUCAAAGAGGCCCAGCUGCUCUGCGUUUUGAUUCUUCUCCCUCUCUCAGUCCACACUGACCUGGGAGGGGCUUCUCAAACACCACAUUUCCUAGCAUGCUGUGAGAAGAGGACUGUGAGCUAAAAAGGGAGAAAAGCCAAAUAAAAACACAGACAAACCAACCAACCAAGCACUGACGAGCCAGUAAAGAGGGAACUGUGGAGGAAUCAGGGCUGAGAGAAUCUCUGAUACAGCAGCGGAAAUAGGCACUCCCUUCCUCAUCAACAAACACCUGACCUGGGUAGACCCUCUGCUUACCAAGAUCCAGUCCACCUUUUGACAUCAGCAUUCAUGCUGCCUCUUUUUACGAACCAAGCCAAAGUGGUCCCUUCCUCUGGAAAUUAUAGGGUACUUAAUGUACCUCAUAUCCAGCUUCCCAACUCCAGACUGUGGGAGAUGACAUCGAGUCAGCCUGCCUGGAUGUGACUCAGCUCUGCAACUUAUUAAAGACCUUUGGCAAAUCACCUAA
Molecule: non-coding RNA, 592 nt
Filed under: Pongo abelii (Sumatran orangutan)
Lineage: Eukaryota; Metazoa; Chordata; Mammalia; Primates; Hominidae
Source: RNAcentral